CACUGGCAUACCAUUGGAGAAAUGGUGGAUUUGUGAAUGUUCUACAUUAACCUACCAUGUUGGGGAGAAGAGUGGAGGUUGGGGCUGGGGUCAGCUUAUUUCCAUUGGCAGCCCAUCAAGAAAUACCUACUUCUUUCAUUUGACCCAUCUGAGGCCCAAUCACUUUCUCUCUUUUCAAUGUUCUACAGAGGUGAAGAAUGUCUUGCUCACAGACUACAGGGGUGCCAUGCAGUAAGUAAUUUUGCAGUUUUCCAGUUCUUCUUCCCUAUGGUGAAGGGAAAAGGGAAAGGAAGAAGGUUCUGCAUGGAUUUCCUUUAUGCAACAAUGACCAGCUGAAGAAACUGACAUUCCAAAAGGCAACUGACCACAGUAAUUGUCUGAAGCAACUGAACCCAGAUUUUCCUGACUGCAGGUCCAGUGCUGUCGCCAUUCACUGUAACGAGAAGCUGUAGGACCACUUGGUACACCAACUAUAGAGGGAAUUCUUAUUAAUUUAAAUAAAGCUGCCAUUUGUAAUGGGGUUCA
RNAcentral lists this long non-coding RNA (525 nucleotides) under Monodelphis domestica (gray short-tailed opossum). RNAcentral describes it as "lncRNA (ENSMODG00000032604.2)". Lineage: Eukaryota; Metazoa; Chordata; Mammalia; Didelphimorphia; Didelphidae. The record is from RNAcentral.